GUUAAAUCAUAGGUUCAGAGUCUUCCUUUUGCCUCAAGAGUCUGUCUGGUGGCUGGCUCGCAGCUAGCUUCUGCACAAUCCCCUCACUCUGACCCUGCAUCUUCAAUGCCGCCAUUCUGCCAAACCGCUGCUACUUCUGGGUGAAAACCUAGUUCUAGCUCCCUCCAGAGUUAGCUGGUUUGGCUAUUUGAAAGCUACUCCUUCAAUGAACCGUUCUUUGUCAUUUCAGAAAUGAACCCUGCUUUCCAGCAUUUGGGCUGGACAGGGUUCUCCAGGCUUGCUAACUACAGCAGCUGUUUUCUGUCCCCAGUAAGAGCCAGGGUGACAUACCUACCUGCCCAGAGCCACCCUUGACAGGAGACUCAGGGAGAAGUGCCCCCAGGACCAAAGCACCUGCCCAGCCCACUGGAAGAAGGAAGCUUACAAUUCUGUAUGCUUGGAACCCACCAAAGCCUGAGGCCUCACUGGCACCCAGCCAUCCACAGGAGUUAGCAGCUGUUUGAGUCCAGAAGGAAGAACUUUUGGAGUCGGAGACAAAUAAUGUUCACCACUCCACUUCCUUGUUCCUUCACACCUGCUACUUUGGAUUCAGACGAGAAGUUCCAAGAAUCCCUGAGUCCACAGCAUGACUCUGGUUUGCAGAACCUCUGUCCAGACCAGCCAGAUCAGAAUACAAAGGAAAGUGACACAUCCUGGAUCUCAACCCACUUCGAUGGGAAGUCUUCCUGAUAAAUUUAGAGAUAACCUAAAGCCCUUGGGGACUUCCUCUUGAUUUGAAUCUGCUGAACACCUGCCGCACCCCCACCGCACCCCCCCCCCCCGCCCCCCGCCACCGCAGAUGAAAACAUCAACUCUGCAGAAUUAAUGGAUAUGGGAAUCACCUGGGGACCUCUCAUUAAAUUGCAAAUUAUGAUUCAGAGGGUCUGGGGAGGGACAGAGACUCUGCAUUUCUAACAAGCUCUCCGGUGGUGCCCACGCAUCACCGGGGCCGGAGAACCUUCCAUCAUUCCAGCAAUGCUCACCAUCACUGCCAUUCUUGCUCUUCUUUCUGGGGCCGUUGCCCAUUUUCUCCAUGGUAUCCUUCUUUUUUCCUAUUCUUUUCCUCUUUUAAUCCUUUUUUUCUUCCCAGCCAACUCACUAUUCCUAUAUCCCUGCUAACCCUCAAUGCUCCUUCACUCAAAGAUGAAGAAACUCCUGCCCUUUCUUCCUCCAGACAUUCAUCUCCCUCCCUCCCUCCUCUCCUCAGCUUUGUAGUGCCAGGAAAAGAAAGAUCACCAUUUACUGACAAUUUUGUGUGAAGCACUGUCCCAAGUGCAUUACCCAUAUUACUUAACUCUCACAACAACCCUGCAAAGUACACAUUAUUUCUGCCAUUUUAGACAUGAGAAAAUUGGGACUUGGGGUGGUUAAAGAAAUCUUGUCCUCAACCAGGAAGUAGUGAUCUGAGAUUAGAAUUUAGAUCUGUCUGAGGCCAAAGUCUACAACUUCUAUACUGCACCAUGCUCAUAUAAGGUGAACAAUCUAGAAGGCAGCUGGUAGGAGUGGCUUCAGUAAAAAGGAAUGGAAUACCACGAGCUUCACCCCAUUUAUGCAUCCUGAACCCUUCACUCCACUUUUGUUAAGUACAUGCCCUAUGAGACGGUUUGACAUACCAAUAAUGAGAGCUGUUUCAAGAAUGCCCAGAUUAGCUAGGAUGGUUGGGACCUAAAUAGCACAGUAGUAAUAUUAAAGCCCAAAGUUGCCAAUAUGCUCAAUUUUCAAUGUAACCUUUUAUUAUAAAUUAAGACCCAUAACUGUACACACAGAGUCUGUUACCAAAAAAGAAAUUCCUUCCAUUGGCCAAUUAUUCAACCACAUGAAGUCUACUAAAGGAUGAUGCCAAGCCACCCAUCAGUCCACACAGGAUCCAUCAUGGAUGGAUAGCCAGUUCCUUUUUCUCUCUCUAGUUUCUCUUCCUUGAUUCCACCUCUAGGAUCCCCUCGCUCUCUUAUUGUCCUUUGCCUUGUCCUCAAGAUCCUACCAAGAGUCCUGGCUUCCCACCUGGGAGCAUGUACCAGUUCUCCAAACCUUUGUGUGUUUCUGAUUCCUCAGACUACCGCAUCUACAAACUAGGAAACUGUACUCUUGCUUAUACUGGCCCUCUCCCUCCCUUGACUUUUAUUAGAUACAUCAAAACAAAACAAAAAACUCCUUUUAAAUUCUGUUAAAGAUCCUGCAAGGUAUGAAGGGAGGAGAAAAGGCAGGGGCUGGGUAUGAGGAAAAGUCCAUCUUGACAUACAAAAAUGUUAAAAGUCUAUAUACUCAAAGGAGAAGUGAAGAGUCAGACUUUUACAUGUGGAACAGACAGGAAAACUGGGAGCAAUAUGGUGUAGUCAUCAGAUGUGGGUUCUAAAUUCAUCUCAGCUACCAACCAGCAGUGCAACCUUGGAUAAGCUGUGUAUUUUUCUCAAUACCAGUUUCUUCAUCUUUAAAGUGUGGAGAUUGGAUUGAACAAUUACUAAGAUUCCUUUGUUCUCUACUCUGCAGUGUCAUCUCUAGCACCUAAAAUAAAAUAAACCAGAAAUUAAUGAAAGAGUGAAAAUAAUAUUGCUCUAACCAGAAACUGAGAUACUUGAUUGAGUAAAUGCAUGAAAACAAGAAGGUAAAGAAACCAUGAUUAAUAAUAAUAAAUGAAUAAUAAUAACAAUAAAAUAUAAAAAAUUAAAUAAAGACAAAAAUGAAUGAGCCUAUAGUUUUACUUUUUAAGAAGAUGUUAAAUGCCCUUCCAAAGUGGCCACUCAUUAUCCAUAGCUAUCAGUUACUUGUAAAAUACACUGUUGGGACAAUGCAUAUUCUAUUCAGAAGUAUAUUGCCACUUAAAAACCUUGUUUUCCAAUAAAAGCAUUGAGUUAUAAAAUCAACCAACAUUUUUAUUCUAAACUAUGGUAGGUAGAUCAGAAAUAAAAUUAGGUCAACAUGAAUAAUUUCCUUCAUGGCAGGUUACGGAAUUUAAUGUACGUGAUAUUUUCCCUCUUUGAAGUUAACAUGUAAUUAUGUUUGCUUUAUGCCAAUUUAUCUGCUUCUAAAUGUUCCAAACUGAAAAAAGGAAAACAAAGCCUGCCUGUAGCUGCCUCUUCCUUCAUAUACACACCAGGCCAAAAGACAGAAUGGCUGGAGGCAUGGUCUCCAAGUGUGUGCUUUGCGGGAGGCCUACCCACCCUAAAAGUAUAAGGGCAAAAGUGUAUCUCUUUGUGUUUUGGAGCUGACUGGCUCAGUAAAAUUUUCUAAGUCAGUCUGCACGUACACCACUUCCUCAGUCUUAUAAGUGAGGACGCCCUCCUGCAUCUGGCCCUUAGAAACCUGACCCCUCCUGAUUGGUCAUCACUUAUUUUCUGGGAAUCAGCUUUCAUCAGCCCAAACCCUUCCAGCAGAAGGAUGCCCCAGCCUCUCUACUCAGGGGAUAACUUGCCCAGGAGAAACAUUUUUUGUGAUGAUGUUCUUCUCAUUCUCUUUCUUCUGUAACCCCAUCCUGGCCUCAGGUACCCAUGGUCUCUAUGCCAAAAUCACAGGUGAAAAUUAUAUUUUGAUUAUUUGGCUUAGAUUCUCUCCAGGCCUGACUUUCAACUACCAUUGAAAUGAUUCUCCUAAAUAAAUAUUACCUGAGAAAACCCAAGUUCCACCAUUUGGGUCUGUCAUGUUCCCAGAUGAGGGAAGCAACAGGCAUCAAGAAUUCCAGAACGUUAGAAUCCUUAAGUGGAUCGAAAGACAAAUUUGAAGGAAAAUCUUACCUCUUGCCACUCUCCACUAACAACUAGGGCUUAUUCGUUUUUUACUCUUCAUCAAGAACAAUAAAAAUAAAAUAUACAGCUGGGCACGGUGGCUCAUGCUUAUAAUCC
This 3875-nucleotide long non-coding RNA is filed under the name Homo sapiens (human). RNAcentral describes it as "non-protein coding lnc-QRSL1-2:1". The record is from RNAcentral. Lineage: Eukaryota; Metazoa; Chordata; Mammalia; Primates; Hominidae.